Molecule: non-coding RNA, 69 nt
Organism: Rattus norvegicus (Norway rat)
Lineage: Eukaryota; Metazoa; Chordata; Mammalia; Rodentia; Muridae
Source: Rfam
GGGGAUUUAGCUCAGUGGCAGAGCGCUUGCCUAGCAAGCACAAGGCCCUGGGUUCGGUCCCCAGCUCUG